CCAGGGUGCUGUGCACUUGAAUGGAGUUCUGGGUGUUCUCAUGGAUCCUGAAUCCCUUCAAGUGGACAAAACGUUGG
Molecule: microRNA precursor, 77 nt
Organism: Gallus gallus (chicken)
Lineage: Eukaryota; Metazoa; Chordata; Aves; Galliformes; Phasianidae
Source: Ensembl